Molecule: non-coding RNA, 71 nt
Organism: Aedes albopictus (Asian tiger mosquito)
Lineage: Eukaryota; Metazoa; Arthropoda; Insecta; Diptera; Culicidae
Source: Rfam
CUUCUCGUGAUAUAGUGGUAACGCGCCUGUCUAGUGAGUAGAAGUCGUGAGUUUGAGUCUCGCCGAGAAGA